Molecule: ribosomal RNA, 480 nt
Filed under: uncultured bacterium
Lineage: Bacteria
Description: bacterial SSU rRNA
Rfam family: Bacterial small subunit ribosomal RNA
Source: RNAcentral
AUUGAACGCUGGCGGCGUGCCUAACACAUGCAAGUCGAGCGGUAACAGGUGUAGCAAUACAUGCUGACGAGCGGCGGACGGGUGAGUAACGCUUGGGAAUCUGCCUAUUAGUGGGGGACAACCCGGGGAAACUCGGGCUAAUACCGCAUACGCUCUACGGAGGAAAGCCGGGGACCGCAAGGCCUGGCGCUAAUAGAUGAGCCCAAGUCGGAUUAGCUAGUUGGUAGGGUAAUGGCCUACCAAGGCGACGAUCCGUAACUGGUCUGAGAGGACGACCAGUCACACCGGAACUGAGACACGGUCCGGACUCCUACGGGAGGCAGCAGUGGGGAAUAUUGGACAAUGGGCGAAAGCCUGAUCCAGCGACGCCGCGUGGGUGAAGAAGGCCUGCGGGUUGUAAAGCCCUUUCAGCAGGGACGAAGCGAAAGUGACUGUACCUGCAGAAGAAGCACCGGCUAACUACGUGCCAGCAGCCGCAGU